AAGCGCGCGCAGGCGGUCUUUUAAGUCUGAUGUGAAAGCCCACGGCUCAACCGUGGAGGGUCAUUGGAAACUGGAGGACUUGAGUGCAGAAGAGGAGAGUGGAAUUCCACGUGUAGCGGUGAAAUGCGUAGAUAUGUGGAGGAACACCAGUGGCGAAGGCGGCUCUCUGGUCUGUAACUGACGCUGAGGCGCGAAAGCGUGGGGAGCAAACAGGAUUAGAUACCCUGGUAGUCCACGCCGUAAACGAUGAGUGCUAGGUGUUGGGGGGUUCCACCCUCAGUGCUGAAGUUAACACAUUAAGCACUCCGCCUGGGGAGUACGACCGCAAGGUUGAAACUCAAAGGAAUUGACGGGGGCCCGCACAAGCAGUGGAGCAUGUGGUUUAAUUCGAAGCAACGCGAAGAACCUUACCAGGUCUUGACAUCCUCUGACAAUCCUGGAGACAGGACGUUCCCCUUCGGGGGACAGAGUGACAGGUGGUGCAUGGUUGUCGUCAGCUCGUGUCGUGAGAUGUUGGGUUAAGUCCCGCAACGAGCGCAACCCUUGAUCUUAGUUGCCAGCAUUUAGUUGGGCACUCUAAGGUGACUGCCGGUGACAAACCGGAGGAAGGUGGGGAUGACGUCAAAUCAUCAUGCCCCUUAUGACCUGGGCUACACACGUGCUACAAUGGACGGUACAAAGGGCAGCGACACCGCGAGGUGAAGCGAAUCCCAUAAAGCCGUUCUCAGUUCGGAUUGCAGGCUGCAACUCGCCUGCAUGAAGCCGGAAUUGCUAGUAAUCGCGGAUCAGCAUGCCGCGCUGAAUACGUUCCCGGGCCUUGUACACACCGCCCGUCACACCACGAGAGUUUGUAACACCCGAAG
Molecule: ribosomal RNA, 863 nt
Filed under: marine bacterium B43
Lineage: Bacteria
Description: bacterial SSU rRNA
Rfam family: Bacterial small subunit ribosomal RNA
Source: RNAcentral